AGUUUGAUCCUGGCUCAGAGUGAACGUUGGCGGCGUGGAUUAGGCAUGCAAGUCGAGCGAUCGUAGCAAUACGGGAGCGGCAAACGGGGUAGGAAUACGAUCGGAACGUACCUUUUGGUUGAGAAUAGCGUUGGGAAACUGACGGUAAUACUCAAUAAAGUCGAGAGACCAAAGGUUUACUGCCGGAAGAGCGGCCGAUGCGAUAUUAGGUAGUUGGUGGGGUAAUGGCCUACCAAGCCUGAGAUGUCUAGGGGGUGUGAGAGCAUGGCCCCCACCACUGGGACUGAGAUACUGCCCAGACACCUACGGGUGGCUGCAGUCGAGGAUCUUCGUCAAUGGGCGAAAGCCUGAACGAGCGACGCCGCGUGCGGGAUGAAGGCCCUUGGGUUGUAAACCGCUGUCAGGGGGAUGAAACCGUAAGGUUGACAGAGCCCCAGAGGAAGCACGGGCUAAGUUCGUG
This 460-nucleotide ribosomal RNA is filed under the name uncultured bacterium. RNAcentral describes it as "bacterial SSU rRNA". It matches the Rfam family "Bacterial small subunit ribosomal RNA", at positions 10 to 507 of the family's 1533-position model. The record is from RNAcentral.